This 253-nucleotide ribosomal RNA is filed under the name uncultured bacterium. Its description in RNAcentral is "partial 16S ribosomal RNA". It matches the Rfam family "Bacterial small subunit ribosomal RNA", at positions 524 to 776 of the family's 1533-position model. The record is from RNAcentral.
UACAGAGGUCCCAAGCGUUGUUCGGAUUCACUGGGCGUAAAGGGUGCGUAGGCGGUCGGGUAAGUCUGACGUGAAAUCUCCAAGCUCAACUUGGAAAUGGCGUCGGAUACUAUUCGGCUCGAGGAAUGGAGGGGAGACUGGAAUUCUCGGUGUAGCAGUGAAAUGCGUAGAUAUCGGGAGGAACACCUGUGGCGAAAGCGGCGCACUGGACCACAACUGACGCUGAGGCGCGAAAGCUAGGGGAGCAAACAGG